UACGGGGGGGGCAAGCGUUGUUCGGAAUUACUGGGCGUAAAGGGCUCGUAGGUGGCCAACUAAGUCAGACGUGAAAUCCUUCAGCUUAACUGGGGAACUGCGUCUGAUACUGGAUGGCUUGAGUUUGGGAGAGGGAUGCGGAAUUCCAGGUGUAGCGGUGAAAUGCGUAGAUAUCUGGAGGAACACCGGUGGCGAAGGCGGCAUCCUGGACCAACACUGACACUGAUGAGCGAAAGCCAGGGGAGCAAACGGG
RNAcentral lists this ribosomal RNA (253 nucleotides) under uncultured bacterium. RNAcentral's name for it is "partial 16S ribosomal RNA". It matches the Rfam family "Bacterial small subunit ribosomal RNA", at positions 524 to 776 of the family's 1533-position model. The record is from RNAcentral.